UCUGACGCUUCCCGUCACACCUGGAAACUGUGAGAGAAGUUCGACGUCUUGUCUGCGUCGUUUAAAAACCACCAUCAGGUCAAAGAGGAGCCUGGACUGAGCCCACGUCACUGAACCUUCUCCAACAACAACAACAACAACAACAACACACUGUGUUUUCUCCUAACGUCUCCAUGGGAACACAGAGAAGAUCAAGAUUGAUGCAACAGAUGGAAAAAAUUCAAUGGCAGUUAAGAGGCGAUUUAGUUACCACAACCUCAGCCCCGUUGAUUUAACUACAAAUACCUCUACACAGUCAGCUAAUGUGAUUGUUUCACAUUGAGUGAUAGGAUGAGGCUUAGAGUAACAUUACAUACUGCUGCUUUCUAGCAGAUGUAAUGGGUCAUAACCGUCCAGCUCACACGCUGCUGAUUUACUGCUGACCUAGAUGAAAGGAGCGAGAGAGAUUUAUUGAGGCUUUAUUGGACAUAAAUAAAGUCUGUUUUUAAAGACA
Long non-coding RNA from Platichthys flesus (European flounder), 493 nucleotides. RefSeq lists it as uncharacterized. Lineage: Eukaryota; Metazoa; Chordata; Actinopteri; Pleuronectiformes; Pleuronectidae. The record is from RefSeq and is a predicted model, not a curated record. The transcript is spliced from 2 exons.